RNAcentral lists this transfer RNA (75 nucleotides) under Candidatus Staskawiczbacteria bacterium. RNAcentral describes it as "tRNA-Phe". It matches the Rfam family "tRNA". From Rfam's summary of the family: Transfer RNA (tRNA) molecules are approximately 80 nucleotides in length. The record is from RNAcentral. Lineage: Bacteria; Candidatus Staskawicziibacteriota. RNAcentral also lists the same sequence under 1 other name.
GCCGGGGUAGCUCAGUGGUAGAGCACUGCUCUGAAAAAGCAGUGGUCGAAGGUCCGAUUCCUUUCCCCGGCACCA